Molecule: ribosomal RNA, 497 nt
Filed under: uncultured bacterium
Lineage: Bacteria
Description: partial 16S ribosomal RNA
Rfam family: Bacterial small subunit ribosomal RNA
Source: RNAcentral
GAUGAACGCUGGCGGCGUGCCUAAUACAUGCAAGUCGAGCGAACGGACGAGAAGCUUGCUUCUCUGAUGUUAGCGGCGGACGGGUGAGUAACACGUGGAUAACCUACCUAUAAGACUGGGAUAACUUCGGGAAACCGGAGCUAAUACCGGAUAAUAUUUUGAACCGCAUGGUUCAAAAGUGAAAGACGGUCUUGCUGUCACUUAUAGAUGGAUCCGCGCUGCAUUAGCUAGUUGGUAAGGUAACGGCUUACCAAGGUAACGAUGCAUAGCCGACCUGAGAGGGUGAUCGGCCACACUGGAACUGAGACACGGUCCAGACUCCUACGGGAGGCAGCAGUAGGGAAUCUUCCGCAAUGGGCGAAAGCCUGACGGAGCAACGCCGCGUGAGUGAUGAAGGUCUUCGGAUCGUAAAACUCUGUUAUUAGGGAAGAACAUAUGUGUAAGUAACUGUGCACAUCUUGACGGUACCUAAUCAGAAAGCCACGGCUAACUACGUG